AAGGGUCCGGUAGGCGGACUCGUAAGUCAGUGGUGAAAUCUCAUAGCUUAACUAUGAAACUGCCAUUGAUACUGCGGGUCUUGAGUAAGGUAGAGGUAGCUGGAAUAAGUAGUGUAGCGGUGAAAUGCAUAGAUAUUACUUAGAACACCAAUUGCGAAGGCAGGUUACCAUGUCUUAACUGACGCUGAUGGACGAAAGCGUGGGGAGCGAACAGGAUUAGAUACCCGUGU
This 230-nucleotide ribosomal RNA is filed under the name uncultured bacterium. RNAcentral's name for it is "partial 16S ribosomal RNA". It matches the Rfam family "Bacterial small subunit ribosomal RNA", at positions 563 to 791 of the family's 1533-position model. The record is from RNAcentral.